This is a non-coding RNA of Canis lupus familiaris (dog), 96 nucleotides long. The record is from Rfam. Lineage: Eukaryota; Metazoa; Chordata; Mammalia; Carnivora; Canidae.
UGGUGACCUGAGGCUCCCUGGCUGUCACUCUGUCCCAGGCCCGUCCUGGCCGCGGGCACAGGCUGAGUCGCAGUAGAGUCUGUGGGGUCCUGACCC